Molecule: long non-coding RNA, 4357 nt
Filed under: Acanthaster planci (crown-of-thorns starfish)
Lineage: Eukaryota; Metazoa; Echinodermata; Asteroidea; Valvatida; Acanthasteridae
Description: uncharacterized LOC110990611, transcript variant X2
Source: RNAcentral
CUACGGCUUGUGUCUUCAAUAGCCUGAGGUAUUUUCAUGUAUGUAAUCCUGGCUUGCAUCCUUGCUUGGGCCAUGACCUCUUUGAAGGCAUUGUUAGGUGUGAUUUAGCACUUUUCAUUAAGGACCUAGUGAAGAAAAAGUGGUUCUCGUAUGACUAUCUUAAUAGGACUAUGAAAAGGACCCAGUUGAAAGGUUUUGAUGCAAAUGAUAAACCCCCAGAAAUUAGUAGCUCAGGGGAAGAAAUAUCAGGCCAUGCUGUUGAGAACUGGUGCCUUUUGAGAAAUCUUCCAUUCUUUCUACAUGCUGUUGUUCAGGACCCACAAGAUCAGUCAUGGCAACUGAUACUGUGCCUUAGAGAGAUAGUUGAGUUUGUCUGCUCCCAAAGAAUCUCACGUGGGCAAGUCUUGUCUCUUGUGUCUUUGAUUGAUGAGUAUUCGUUGGAUAGAAAAGAAGCAUUUCCUUUGGUUAACCUCCGACCCAAACACCACUACCUGCGACACUAUCCAGAGCUGAUCCUGAAGUGUGGCCCAUUGAUCAGAGCAUGAACCAUGAGGUUUGAAAGUAAGCAUUCUUACUUAAAAUCGCAUGCUCGCCAUUGUGCCAAUUUUAUCAAUAUUACCAAAUCAUUAGCUGAAAAGCACCAGCUUCUGCAAGCCUUUUGUAGACGUGGUCAGUAUUUCAGUAUUGGCAUUUCAGCUGCAAGAUCCAUUCCAUUUUAUUCACAUCUGUAUGCUCUUUCCCUGAAUUCUGCUGUGGAGAAAUGUGGGGUGCAUAUUGGUGAUGAUGUUCACAUCUCUGACUCAGUCGAUAUUGAUGGCAUACAUUAUUGCAAAGGGAAGUAUGUUGUUGUCAAUCAGACUGAUGUGGAUAGAUUCCAUCUAAGCUUUGGUCUCAUUCAGUCAUUCAUAUUGGGCAGUGACAAUUCUAGUACAUGCCAUUUGCUUGUCUCAAUCAUAAGAGGCAGUUACGACCCUGCACUUGGGGUGUAUGAGUUACUUGAAGCAUCAGGUCAUGAAGCACAUGGAUCCAACUUGAAAUGCCUUGACAGACGGCAACUUUUAGAUACUCAGCCUCUCCAUGCCUACACUGUUAGUCGCAGAAAGUGCAUUGCCCUGAAUCCUUCUAUCUGUUUCAUUGAUGAAGAGCAGUGAACGAAGUGUGAGGUAAAUUUCUUUGAAAUGAAGUCACUACAGGUAGUCAAGAUUUUGUGAGGGUUGUAUAUACGUACAUAUAAGCUCACUCUAACCCCUAAAACGACCUAUAAGCCGUAGUGCAUGUACAUGUCAUACAUGUAUACACAUUUCGUAGAAAAGCAAUAAUUAUUUAGACCAGUCUCAAAUGUUUUGCAGGCAGUGUCAAAUGAACUUCUUUGUGGAAUUCUUUGCACCAUUUUUUCGGUGUUCUCAACAGGGAUUUUAGCAGGGUGGCCCACCCCUGCCAAAAUUUUAUGUUACAGUGCCAAAAUUUCAUACCGUGGAGAACACUGAUUUUUAGUCUGCCAUGUCCUGUUCUCUCCAUGUUUGAAUUGUGAUCAUGAUUUAAACCUAUUAGAGAUGCCUGCUUCGGGUUUGGUGAUUUAUCAGAUGUCAGGAUUUUUUUCACUGAAGAAGUCUUGGCUCAAGAUGAAUAUACAUGUACAUCAGGCGACUGCCACUCCCUAAAUGACUUGUCAAUGGGUGUAUGCUACGACGUUUUGGACUUGAUAAUGAAAUGAUAAAAAAAGAAAUUAAAACCUACAUACAAUUCAGACUUAAUUUCCCUUGAAACAACUCUCCGGAGCCACAAUUAGAAAAAGGGAAAUACAAUUUUUACCUGCAACUUUUUAAUUUUAAUCCCGAUGGUAGUUAUAGCCUUCUGUCUGCUAUUUCAGAAAGCACAAUGGACAAAAGAGGCAGCGGAGUUAACACAGUUCCUAUCACAGGUUUUCCCUACUUUGGACGAUGAGAAUCUUUGAGAAAUCGAGAUUACACUUGUUGACAAACUUGGGUGUGAUGAAGUUGAAGAUCUGCACCAUGCUACAGAGGAUGACCUGCACUACCUAAAACCGUUACGAAGGAGGAAACUUUUGGCUGCUGUUUCUGAAAGAAAGCAUGAUUUGUCACAGUUUUUCAGGAGGAGCUUCUCCCUCUGGCACAGAUCUUGAUGAACGCAGUAUGUUGGAAAGUUCCAUGUCCUCCACAAGCACCAUUCCGGAGACAGAUUCUGAAGAAUCCAGCGUGUACUCUACUCCUGAACCAGCCAAAUCAGAGUUCAGCAUCCCAUGGCAUAAAUUCCCACGCACCGUGAUGAAGAAGUGUGCCAAUCGGAAGUGCCUUACAGCCUCAGAGACAUGUGAAGUUAAGCGAAUGGUCAGUGAUGAAAUGAUGGCAGUGGGAGUUACUAAACGCGGAGCUAUUCGCAAAGCUGCCAAAGCCAUUUGUGACAGGUACCCAUGCUCGUUUGAAGACAGGGGUAUUGGAGGAACCAAACUGGGCAAUGGGUACCAGUCUGUCUUCUCUGGAAUAGAGAAUCGCAUUUACAAUGAGACUCAUAAGAUUCGCAAACGUAAAGCUGAAGUGCUGCAAUCAAAAGCUUCAGAUGACGGCUCAGAGGGUACUGCUGACUUCGACAUGUAUGGAUGCAAACAGGAAUGUGGUUGCCAGACUGUCCAAAUGAAGAUGAGUUGAAUGCCCAGAUGGAGAAGAAAAAACUGCUGCAAAAUCUGAAAGACCUACCAGACUGUGACACUGAGAAAGUGAUGAAGCUAAUGACUGACACGACAUCUCCAGCGCAAAGAUAUUUGCAGUGGCAUGUCUAUUGCUGAACUCAAUAAGGAGUGGCCUUUUCUCUUGACCUAUAAGUGUCUUGUCAACCAUUUCCACAUGCUCACCGAGAUAAAUCCGGAAUCUGCAAUGGAAGAGUCGCUUCUCGCUAGGAACAAGGGUAGCCGCAUAUACGAGUACAUAUUGUCAGGGACACAGAAGAAGAAGUCUGUUGAUGUGAAGAAGUGGAUUGGCAUCAUAAAGGCCGAGGUAGAGGAGACAAAAUCAACAGACCCUCAAUGCCAAUGUGUUUUCUUCCUGCUCCUGAAUUAUUUCGAAGAUGCGGAAGAUAGGCUGUUUCGCUUCUAUAGAGAUCACGGGAAGACAUCUUCCAGGGCCGGAACCUGUUUUACCUCGUCAUAGAGGGUUCUGUCAUCAAUGAUCGCAUUGCAACCUUCCUCGAAGCUGUCACAAGCCUCUUCUUGUGUUUUUACACACUCUCUUUAGAGUACCCCCCAGAGGCAGCAAUCACAAUGGAGUUUAUCCAGAGGGAAAUGAUCGGCAUCAAUCCAGACGGGCCAGUUGUUGCAAAGACUGGAGGCAAGAAGAAAAACAUAUCCGCCGUCGCUCCCAAGAUUGUGGCCCUCCUUCGUGGGAUCAUGGAAUUCGAGUCAGACUGGCAUAUGGAUCAGUAGCAGAUCUGCUGCAAUUUGUUCGCUCUGAGACAUAGACAUUCGCACCCUGUUGCCUUCAUUUGUUUGGGUUUUUUGUUUUCUUUUUUUUACAUUUAAUUUAUUCUUAUACAGUAACUGUUUAAUUAACUCUCAAUUUGGGUUUGGCAUCAAGUGGAACUUAUUGCGCCUAAUCAUACAUGUUAAAGUUAAGUUACGCUUCACAGGUUUUGUCAAAAGAAGUUUACAACUUGGCAAUGUGUGCAUACAUCUGUACAUUAAUUCUUGAUGAUGAUGUUUGACUAUUUCUUGUGGCUCCCUUGUAUGUCAUACAUUUUGGUUUGACAUGCUUGAUACAUUUGAUGUUGGUAUUUUAUGCUACAUGCAGGUUUAAUGCCAUGUGGGUGUUUACAUCCAGGUCUACAUAGGUAUAUGGAGAAAAGAUUCACAAAAAAAAUUUUGAAUAACCUAUUCAGUUACAUGUAUUGAUGUUACAUGUAUUAUAGGUCUGUUUGACUGAAAAAAGUGGCAUUUUGAAAGUUCUGAGCCUUAGACCUGUGUAAUUGUUGAUGUACACUCCUUCCACCCUGUAGCCUUCCUUUUUUUAAAAAAUUCUUAUACAGUAUUUAACUCUUAAUUUGGUUUUUGCAUCAGAUGGAACUUAUUGCGCCUGAUCACAUGUUAAAGCUAAGUCAUGCUUCACAGAUUUUGUCAAAAGAAGUUUACAACCUGGCAAUGUGUGCAUACAUCUGUACAUUAAUUCUUGAUGAUAAUGUCACGGACCGGCUUGAUUUAAGUCUAAUCUUGGAAUGUGUUAUGAGUUUGGUAGCCAUCCGAGUAGUCAUAAUAGUUCCCACCCCGUCAUGCUUGUAACCAGUAUUUAAAGAGCUCGGUGGGAUAUGAAAUGAUCAGUUGUCUGUAACUAUUCAUAUUGCUUGACUUAUA